Molecule: ribosomal RNA, 689 nt
Filed under: uncultured bacterium
Lineage: Bacteria
Description: bacterial SSU rRNA
Rfam family: Bacterial small subunit ribosomal RNA
Source: RNAcentral
AUGCGAGUUGACGAUUUUUCGUAGCGAACGGGUGAGGAUAAUACAGAAUUUCCCUUCUUAGUUUAGGAUAAAACGUAUUCAGUUUUUGAAGUAAAAACAAAAUAUUUGUUUUCCGUUAAUACUAAAUAGUAAUAAAGAUUAUUUUAGAUGUUUUAAUAAUCGCUAAAAGAUAAAUCUGUAGAAGAUUAGGUAGUUGGUAAUGUUAAAAGCUUACCAAGCCGACGAUCUUUAGUUGAUCUGAGAGGAUGAUCAACCACACUGGAACUGAGACAAGGUCCAGGCUAAGUAUUUUUGGCCAGCAGUGAGGAAUAUUGGACAAUGAACGAAAGUUUGAUCCAGCAAUACUAUAUGAACGAUGACUGCUAAUUUGGCUGUAAAGUUCUUUCGUUAAGUAUGAUAAUGACAAACUUAAAGAAUUUUAGUCCCGGCUAAUCUCGUGCCAGCAGCCGCGGUAAUACGGGAGGGGCAAGCGUUAUUCAAAAUAACUGGGCGUAAAGGGUUCGUAGACGGUAAUACAAGUUAUUUGUUAAUCUUUAAAGCCUAACUUUAAAUAAGCAUAUAAUACUGUUUUACUUGAGUUUUUUUCAGAAGAGUGGAAUUUUAUGUGAAGGGGUGAAACCCGUAGAUACAUAGAGGAAUACCAUUAAAAGCGAAAGCGACUCUUUAGUAAAAACUGACGUUGAGGGACG